GGAAAGGAGAAUGAGGAGGCAACAGGAAUUCGGGGGUGAUGAGGGCAAGAGGAAGAUAAAGUUAGCUGAAAGGUUAAUCAUCCCUGGUCCAUCAAACAAUCUUCAUAUGAUGUGAACUGAAGAUUCUUCAUCAUUCUAGUUGCUUUCUGUUGGAUGAUCUCAAGCUUAUUCAUGUUUUUCCUAAAUGUAGCAGCCAGAACAGAAAACAAUAUUCCAGGUGUGGUCUCACUAGGACACAGUACAACAGGAUGACCACUCCACAUUCUUGGAAGGCCUAAACUAAAGGUUGGAGAUUGGGAUUCUAUCAACCUUUAGAGGAUAGUAGUCCAAGGGUUUACAGAGAGAGAAGAGAAAGGUCUAUUCUAUCCCAACCUCAUCUGCCCUCCAACAGUGGAACGACAUGCAAUAUCUUUUCCAGUCAUCUUUCCUGGGAUACUUGGCCACC
This is a non-coding RNA of Phascolarctos cinereus (koala), 445 nucleotides long. NCBI's taxonomy places the organism in Eukaryota, Metazoa, Chordata, Mammalia, Diprotodontia, Phascolarctidae. The record is from RefSeq and is a predicted model, not a curated record.